RNAcentral lists this ribosomal RNA (406 nucleotides) under Speocera xuanson. RNAcentral's name for it is "partial large subunit ribosomal RNA". The record is from RNAcentral. Lineage: Eukaryota; Metazoa; Arthropoda; Arachnida; Araneae; Ochyroceratidae.
CCUGCCCAAUGAACUUUAAAUAGCCGCUCUAAGUGCUAAGGUAGCAUAAUAAAUUACUCUUUAAUUAAGAGACAGAAUGAAAGGAAGCCCGAUUUAUUAAUUAUACUAAACUAUUUACAUAAAAUUUCAAUUAUUAGUAAAAAUCCUAUAACCAUCCUAGCAGGACGACAAGACCCUUCUGAACUUUAACUAAUCAAUUCCACUGGGAAGGUAAAAAACAAAAUCUUUACUCCCCUUUACAAUACACGCUUACACAGAAUAAAACUAAGUUACCAUAGGGAUAACAGCAUAAUAAUUUAAAAAAGCCCUCAUCCAAUAAAUUGAUUAUGACCUCGAUGUUGAAUUAACAUACUAUAUACUGAAAAAAGUACAAAAGAAAGUCUGUUCGACUUUUAAAACGUUACAU